AUGUCCCUCUGCAUUUCCCCUGUCCCCCUCUCUCUCCCAUCUCCUUCUCCUUUUCCUAUCUCUCAUCUCCUUCUCCCUCUUCCAUCUCCCUCAUUCCCUCUUCCAUUUUUCUCUUCUCUCUCCUCUUUCUGUUCCCAGGCCAUCCAUCCCAUUGAUACGAAUUUUGGCUCCAUGCAUCAUUCUCCUCUUGCUACUGGUGGUGGUUAUAGCAACUCUCCUGGUCCUGUCAGCAAGAAGAAAGAAAGCUCAGCUUGUACUGGAAACAGGAAAGAAUGGGCAGUUUCACUACUCAAACUCGGGAAACAAAUCACUAGACUGAUGCUUGAUCUAAGAACAUUCUCACAUGGAAGAGUUCCCAGGUGUGGCCCACAUAUGAGCCCCAAAAAUCAGAAACCUGGUUUUCUUUCCAUGGUUUCACUGAUUCCUCUCUUCAGGAUCAGGUCAGCUUCUGCCAUCUUGGACAUCAUGAGUGUAUCAGGGAAUGGGGCUGGCUUUGGAGUCUAUAGAGAUCUGGAUUGAGUCCCACUUCCACCUCUUACUAUCUGUAUGACCAUGGGCAGUCAAUUAAUUUCUCUGAGACCCUGUUUCUUCAUCUGUAAAGUCGGCACAAUGAUACCUAGAUGACCUACCUCACAGGGUUGUUGUGAGGCUUAAAUGAGAUUGUGUAUAUAAAAUGCUUUAUAAGUCUUAAAUGUUGGCUAUGAUUACUGGCCCUCGAUUACGUAACAAAAAAAAUGGAAUACUACUUUAUGUCCUCUUCCUACCCAAAGGAAAUACCAAGAAUAAGAACUCAACAUGGGAUAAAUUGUGACUAGAAAUACUGGCCAGUUCCGUGAGUGUUUAAUAAGUCUGAUUUAUUACGUGUGUGCCAUGUGCCAGGCACUGUGCUAGGUGAUGGGGACAAAAGACAAAUAAUGAAACAAUUCCUCCUCUAAAGAAUUCAUUUUCUAAUAUGGGACACAGUCUAACAGGCAUGGGCAUUAAGAGGAAUAGAAGCCAGAGAGAUUAAGAGUAAACAACUCUGGUUCAGGGAAAUGAGAAGAACCCUAAAAAUUCCACCAGUGGUUAGGGGGGAGAAGAGGGAAGCCAUUAAGUGGCUCAGUGGAUAGAGAGCCAGUCCUGGACACAGGAAAUCCUGGGUUCAAAUCUAGCCUCAGAUACUUCCUAACUACAUGACUCUGGGCAAGUCACUUAACCUCAAUUGCCUAGCUCUUACCAUUCUUCUGCCUUGGAACCAAUACUUAGUAUCAUUUCUAAGAUGGAAGGUAAGGGUUAGUCAAAAACAGAAAAAUCCAUUGGGAUAUGCAAGGUCACACUCUCUACAGACUUGAUCCCUCCCUCCUCUCUCCCAUAGCCCCUUCUCCCACUUGUUUUCCUUGCCUUCAGCUAAGCCUGAACUGGUAAGGCUGCCCUAAAGACUCAAGCAGAGUCUGAGAAUCUUGGAAAAGAUGAUCAAAGAACAGAGGUUAUUCAGACAUCCCCACUGCUAGAAGCAGACGCACAUGUAGAACCUUCAUCUUCCCUAGUUGAAAGUCACCCUGACACCAGGUACAAGGUGAGAAGUGAUAACAUACUGAAAAUAUCCCUGAAUUUAGAGUCAGUCAGUCAUUUAGCAUUUUCAGUUGUUUCAGGCAUGUCCGACUCCUCUUGAUCCCAUUUGGGGUUUUCUUGGUAAAGAUACUGGAGUGGUUUGCCAUUUCCUUCUCCAGCUUAUUUUACAGAUGAGGAAACCAAGGCAAACAGAAGUUAAAUGACUUGCCUCAGCUAGUGAGUGUCUAAGCUGGAUUUGAACUCAAAUUCUUCCUGAAUCCAGGUCCAGCAUUCUUUCCAGAAGUUUUUCUUGGUACCAAACCUAAAUUUAGCCUUUUUUGUAAUUUCUACCCAUUUUGCUUUGUUCUGCCCUCUGAGGACAAAAAAAAAAUAAGACUUGUUUUUCAGUCGUUUCUGUCAUGUUUGACCCUUCUCUAGCAAGGAUAUAGAAGUGGUUUACCAUUUCCUUCUCAAGCUCAUUUAACAGGUGAGGAAACUAAGGCAGAGUGUGAAGUGAUUUGCCCAGAGUCACACAGCUGGGAAGUGUCUGAGGACAUAAUUAGCAUUUAUUAAGUACUUAAUAUGUGCCAAGCACUAUGCUAAGCAUUGUGUAUACAAUGGAAGACAGGAAGACUCUCAAGGAAGUCCCUACCUAAUGGGGAUCAAACAGUGGAUAUUUACUCAAUGCCUAUUGCACAUCAGGCAUCAGAAGAUUUAGUUAGAAUUCUAGCUGUACUUCUUAGUUCACUGUGAGACUUUGGGCAAGUCACUUCCUCUGUCCAGGCCUCCAAUUCCUCUAUUGAAUAAAGGUAGAAAGUAGGACUAGAUGUUCUCUAAG
Molecule: long non-coding RNA, 2368 nt
Filed under: Monodelphis domestica (gray short-tailed opossum)
Lineage: Eukaryota; Metazoa; Chordata; Mammalia; Didelphimorphia; Didelphidae
Description: lncRNA (ENSMODG00000049939.1)
Source: RNAcentral